Molecule: ribosomal RNA, 560 nt
Filed under: uncultured bacterium
Lineage: Bacteria
Description: bacterial SSU rRNA
Rfam family: Bacterial small subunit ribosomal RNA
Source: RNAcentral
AACGCUAGCGGCGGGCCUAAUACAUGCAAGUCGAGGGGCAGCGGGGGUAGCAAUACUUGCCGGCGACCGGCGCACGGGUGCGUAACGCGUAUGCAACCUACCUUUGACACGGGAAUAGCCCGAAGAAAUUCGGAUUAAUACCCGAUGGUAUCAUUUGGUGACAUCGCCGGAUGAUUAAAGAUUUAUCGGUCAGAGAUGGGCAUGCGUCUGAUUAGCUAGUUGGUGAGGUAACUGCUCACCAAGGCUACGAUCAGUAGGGGUUCUGAGAGGAUGAUCCCCCACACCGGUACUGAGACACGGACCGGACUCCUACGGGAGGCAGCAGUAAGGAAUAUUGGUCAAUGGGCGCAAGCCUGAACCAGCCACGCCGCGUGCAGGAAGACGGCCCUACGGGUUGUAAACUGCUUUUGUUUGGGAAGAAACCCUCCUUUGCGAAGGAGACUGACGGUACCAGACGAAUAAGCACCGGCUAACUCCGUGCCAGCAGCCGCGGUAAUACGGAGGGUGCAAGCGUUAUCCGGAUUUAUUGGGUUUAAAGGGUGCGUAGGCGGCCUGUUAAG